This 253-nucleotide ribosomal RNA is filed under the name uncultured bacterium. Its description in RNAcentral is "partial 16S ribosomal RNA". It matches the Rfam family "Bacterial small subunit ribosomal RNA", at positions 524 to 776 of the family's 1533-position model. The record is from RNAcentral.
UACAGAGGGGGCAAGCGUUGUUCGGAAUUACUGGGCGUAAAGGGCGCGUAGGCGGCCUGUUAAGUCGAACGUGAAAUCCCCGGGCUCAACCCGGGAACUGCGUCCGAUACUGGCAGGCUUGAAUCCGGGAGAGGGAUGCGGAAUUCCAGGUGUAGCGGUGAAAUGCGUAGAUAUCAGGAGGAACACCGAUGGCGAAGGCAGGUCUCUGGGCAUUAACUGACGCUGAGGAGCGAAAGCAUGGGGAGCGAACAGG